RNAcentral lists this ribosomal RNA (113 nucleotides) under Propithecus coquereli (Coquerel's sifaka). Lineage: Eukaryota; Metazoa; Chordata; Mammalia; Primates; Indriidae. The record is from RNAcentral.
GUUCAUAGCCAUAACACCCUGGAUGCGCCCGAUCUUCAUCUGAUCUCAGAAGCUAAGCAGGGUCGGGCCUUGUUAGUACUUGGCUGGGAGACCCCUGGAAAAAAUGCCCAUCU